This 446-nucleotide ribosomal RNA is filed under the name uncultured bacterium. Its description in RNAcentral is "partial 16S ribosomal RNA". It matches the Rfam family "Bacterial small subunit ribosomal RNA", at positions 338 to 795 of the family's 1533-position model. The record is from RNAcentral.
CCUACGGUGCGCAGCAGUCGAGAAUCAUUCACAAUGGGGGAAACCCUGAUGGUGCGACGCCGCGUGGGGGAAUGAAGGUCUUCGGAUUGUAAACCCCUGUCAUGUGGGAGCAAAUUAAAAAGAUAGUACCACAAGAGGAAGAGACGGCUAACUCUGUGCCAGCAGCCGCGGUAAUACAGAGGUCUCAAGCGUUGUUCGGAAUCACUGGGCGUAAAGCGUGCGUAGGCUGUUUCGUAAGUCGUGUGUGAAAGGCGCGGGCUCAACCCGCGGAAGGCACAUGAUACUGCGAGACUAGAGUAAUGGAGGGGGAACCGGAAUUCUCGGUGUAGCAGUGAAAUGCGUAGAGAUCGAGAGGAACACUCGUGGCGAAGGCGGGUUCCUGGACAUUAACUGACGCUGAGGCACGAAGGCCAGGGGAGCGAAAGGGAUUAGAUACCCCUGUAGUC